This 301-nucleotide ribosomal RNA is filed under the name uncultured bacterium. RNAcentral describes it as "partial 16S ribosomal RNA". It matches the Rfam family "Bacterial small subunit ribosomal RNA", at positions 509 to 809 of the family's 1533-position model. The record is from RNAcentral.
CAGCAGCCGCGGUAAUACGGAGGAUGCGAGCGUUAUCCGGAUUUAUUGGGUUUAAAGGGUGCGUAGGCGGCCUGUUAAGUCAGCGGUGAAAUCUAGGAGCUUAACUCCUAAAUUGCCAUUGAAACUGGCGGGCUUGAGUGUAGAUGAGGUAGGCGGAGUGCGUGGUGUAGCGGUGGAAUGCAUAGAUAUCACGCAGAACUCCAAUUGCGAAGGCAGCUUACUAAGGUACGACUGACGCUGUAGCACGAAAGCGUGGGUAUCAAACAGGAUUAGAUACCCCAGUAGUCCCUGUCUCUUAUAA